RNAcentral lists this ribosomal RNA (477 nucleotides) under Anampses melanurus. RNAcentral describes it as "partial 12S ribosomal RNA". The stretch from base 1 to 238 matches the Rfam family "Bacterial small subunit ribosomal RNA", at positions 1266 to 1533 of the family's 1533-position model. The record is from RNAcentral. Lineage: Eukaryota; Metazoa; Chordata; Actinopteri; Labriformes; Labridae.
GGCUACAUUCAAUAACAAUAAUGAACACGAAUAAUAUUUUGAAAGAGAUAAUUGAAGGAGGAUUUAGUAGUAAACAGKGAAUAGAGCGCCCUGSUGAAACCGGCCUGAAGCGCGCACACACCGCCSGUCACUCUCCCCAAGCUAAUACAAAACAAUUACUAAUAGAUAAUAACUGUAAAGGGGAGGCAAGUCGUAACAUGGUAAGUGUACCGGAAGGUGCGCUUGGAAGAACCCARARCAUAGCUAAAUAACGUAUAGCAUCUCCCUUACACUGASAAGAUAUCCGUGCAACCCGGAUUGCCCUGAAGCCCAACAGUAGCCAAACCCCUUAAACCAAACCAAUCCUUAUUUAUAACCCUUCAUGCACUUAACACGACAAACAAACCAUUUUACCYUCUUAGUAUGGGAGACCAGAAAAGAGAUACUGGCGCCAUAAAGAAAGUACCGCAAGGAAGCUGAAAGAGAAAUGAAUACUCA